AUGAACGCUGGCGGCGUGCUUAACACAUGCAAGUCGAACGGUGAACACGGAGCUUGCUCUGUGGGAUCAGUGGCGAACGGGUGAGUAACACGUGAGCAACCUGCCCCUGACUCUGGGAUAAGCGCUGGAAACGGCGUCUAAUACUGGAUACGAGUAGCGACCGCAUGGUCAGCUACUGGAAAGAUUUAUUGGUUGGGGAUGGGCUCGCGGCCUAUCAGCUUGUUGGUGAGGUAAUGGCUCACCAAGGCGUCGACGGGUAGCCG
This 263-nucleotide ribosomal RNA is filed under the name Microbacterium sp. ISO302_OTU12386. RNAcentral's name for it is "partial 16S ribosomal RNA". It matches the Rfam family "Bacterial small subunit ribosomal RNA", at positions 29 to 289 of the family's 1533-position model. The record is from RNAcentral. Lineage: Bacteria; Bacillati; Actinomycetota; Actinomycetes; Micrococcales; Microbacteriaceae.